RNAcentral lists this ribosomal RNA (356 nucleotides) under Clistoabdominalis ancylus. Its description in RNAcentral is "partial 12S ribosomal RNA". RNAcentral also lists the same sequence under 1 other name. The record is from RNAcentral. Lineage: Eukaryota; Metazoa; Arthropoda; Insecta; Diptera; Pipunculidae.
UAAAAAUUUAAUUUGUAAUAUUUAAGUAGUAUUAGUUAAGGUCUUGAAAUUUAAAAAAUUUGGCGGUAUUUUAGUCUAUUCAGAGGAACCUGUUUUGUAAUCGAUAGUCCACGAUGGAUCUCACUUAAAUUUGUUUUUAUAGUUUAUAUAUCGUCGUUAAAGAAUAUUUUAUAAGAAUAUUAAUUUUCUUAAUUUUUUAUUGAAAUAAUAUCAGAUCAAGAUGUAGCUUAUGUUUAAGUUUAUAAUGGGUUACAUUUAUUAUAUUAUAUUGGAUUUAAUUUUGUAAUAAUUUAAUGAAAAUGGAUUUGAUAGUAAUUUUAUAUAGAUUAAUAAAUUGAUAAUAGCUCUAAAAUAUG